AGCUCUCCCCUAGAAGUCUCUCAUCAGCAGUACUGUGUGACUAUCAGCUCCUGCCCUCUCUAGUCCUGGGGACCAGAUCUAUUUAAGACAACUGGUGCUCUGCAUUUCCAAUUUGAGCUCAGACCGAGAAGGAACACAUUUGUAACUCUGCAGAGGAAGCUGCCUGGAGGCAGAAGCAAAACCCAUCAGGCUUUCAGCUGAAUGAGCCAUCCUUCUCCAGUCUCCCUGUGGAGUCUCUCUUCUCUGUCUUUUUGACCAUUACCACACUUUCGGGAAAGGCUGUGCCUGCAAGUGCAUGGGGAAAGUCUUCAGUGGGCUGAGCAUGAGGCAUCAAGGGGGUUUCAGAGAAAAUGGCCAAGCUGGAGAAUGGGUGAGUGCCUCAAGAAUAUCUUAAAGUAGAGACUAAAGAAGGAAACUACAGGCUGAGUGGAUAGACAAAAA
Molecule: long non-coding RNA, 441 nt
Filed under: Phasianus colchicus (ring-necked pheasant)
Lineage: Eukaryota; Metazoa; Chordata; Aves; Galliformes; Phasianidae
Description: lncRNA (ENSPCLG00000021650.1)
Source: RNAcentral